UAGAAAUCCCGGGAGGGGGGGUGAAAAUUCCCCCAAAAAAAUUCGUGCAAAGGAAAAUGCCUGAAAAAAAAAUUCGUGCAGCCAUUACGUCAGAGAAAAAAAAUUCGUGCAAGCAAACAGCGAAGUAGAAAUAGUCUUGAAAAAAAAUUCGUGCAGAGGUUAAAUGCAUUAAAAAAAAUUCCUGCAGAGACACGAGACUGAAAAAAAAAUUCGUGCCGCAAAAAUUUUAUACCCCCCCUCCCGGGAUUUCUAAUGGUCCGCCCCUAACCUCUCUUCCUUCUGAGAGUUGCGGUAAUGUCAGUGAAUAAUUACUAAGGUCACAUGAACAUGGCUGCCUCAAGUCUCAUCCCUAAAACUCA
Molecule: non-coding RNA, 359 nt
Organism: Paramuricea clavata
Lineage: Eukaryota; Metazoa; Cnidaria; Anthozoa; Malacalcyonacea; Plexauridae
Source: the annotation of a GenBank genome assembly